GACGAACGCUGGCGGCGUGCUUAACACAUGCCAGUCGAACGGUGAAGCGCCUUCCUUUUUGGUGGGUGUGGAUGAGUGGCGAACGGGUGAGUAACACGUGAGUAACCUGCCCCCUUCUUCUGGAUAACCGCAUGAAAGUGUGGCUAAUACGGGAUAUUCUGGGUCUGUCGCAUGAUGGGUCUGGGAAAGAUAUUGUUUCGGUGGGGGAUGGGCUCGCGGCCUAUCAGCUUGUUGGUGGGGUGAUGGCCUACCAAGGCGGUGACGGGUAGCCGGCCUGAGGGGGUGGACGGUCACACUGGGACUGAGACACGGCCCAGACUCCUACGGGAGGCAGCAGUGGGGAAUAUUGCACAAUGGGCGCAAGCCUGAUGCAGCGACGCCGCGUGAGGGAUGGAGGCCUUCGGGUUGUGAACCUCUUUCGCCAGUGAAGCAGGCCUGCCUCGUUUGUGGGUGGGUUGACGGUAGCUGGAUAAGAAGCGCCGGCUAACUACGUG
This 494-nucleotide ribosomal RNA is filed under the name uncultured bacterium. RNAcentral describes it as "partial 16S ribosomal RNA". It matches the Rfam family "Bacterial small subunit ribosomal RNA", at positions 28 to 507 of the family's 1533-position model. The record is from RNAcentral.